CACCAAUUGUGCAAGUUCUCCCACUUGAAAAUAUGAGAGAGGCCUGUAAUUUUCAUCAUAGGUACACUUCAACUAUGACAGACAAAAUGAGAAAAAAUAAUCCAGAAAAUCACAUUGUAGGAUUUUUAAUGAACUUAUUUGCAAAUUAUGGUGGAAAAUAAGUAUUUGGUCACCUACAAACAAGCAAGAUUUCUGGCUCUCACAGAUCUUCUUUAAGAGGCUCCUCUGUCCUCCACUCGUUACCUGUAUUAAUGGCACCUGUUUGAACUUGUUAUCAGUAUAAAAGACACCUGUCCACAACCUCAAACAGUCACACUCCAAACUCCACUAUGGCCAAGCCCAAAGAGCUGUCAAAGGACACCAGAAACAAAAUUGUAGUCACAUGCUUCAUGCCCACCUCAUCCCACUCCCUACUCAAACAGCAGAACGUGAUCCCACAGCAGAAUGUGAUCCCACAGCAGAACGUGAUCACACAGCAGAACGUGAUCACACAGCAGAACGUGAUCACACAGCAGAACGUGAUCAAACAGCAGAAUGUGAUCAAACAGCAGAACGUGAUCACACAGCAGUAUGUGAUCAAACAGCAGAAUGUGGUCACACAGCAGAACGUGAUCACACAGCAGUAUGUGAUCACACAGCAGAACCUGAUCAAACAGCAGAAUGUGGUCACACAGCAGAACGUGAUCACACAUAUUAAACCACAGUUCCUGAAAGCAGCACACUCAUUUGAUGACCAUGAAUUGACCAAACUGACAGCGUAUUUGUACAUAUGAAUGACUGCAUAUAAGUCCAUAUACACAUGCAUGCAGAACACACAGACACACACACGUGCGCACAAACACACACACACAUACUUUUUGCGUGCAUGUGUGAAUAUGUACACACGUUUUCUAUCAUAGUGACUUCAAUUUAUAUCAUUGAAGUGACAGUAAAUGUUGAGAAGUCUGUUUGACGAGAUAUGCCACAUGUCUGGAUAGAGAUCUACAGUACAUGGCACAGGUCUCUAGAUACAAGCCCUUCAUAUUCACCAUGUCGGCAUUGGAGGAAGAGUCUCUGCUUGUAGUUGUGUGGCCCCUGAAGUCUUGUCAGAGAAGCAGGAAAGAGAGACCCAGGAGAUUGAGAACACUCUUUCCCAACAAGCACUUCUCCUUGUACCCUCUCUAAGAAAU
Molecule: long non-coding RNA, 1169 nt
Organism: Oncorhynchus tshawytscha (Chinook salmon)
Lineage: Eukaryota; Metazoa; Chordata; Actinopteri; Salmoniformes; Salmonidae
Source: Ensembl